This 68-nucleotide transfer RNA is filed under the name Sphaerodactylus townsendi. RNAcentral's name for it is "tRNA-Ala". Lineage: Eukaryota; Metazoa; Chordata; Lepidosauria; Squamata; Sphaerodactylidae. The record is from RNAcentral.
UCAUAGCUCAGUGGUAGAUCAUCUGUCUGGCAUGCGGAAGGGGCCGGGUUCAAUCCCCAACAGGUAAA